UAAACGGGGACAAGAUCUGG
RNAcentral lists this non-coding RNA (20 nucleotides) under Arabidopsis thaliana (thale cress). The record is from RNAcentral. Lineage: Eukaryota; Viridiplantae; Streptophyta; Magnoliopsida; Brassicales; Brassicaceae.